GCGGGGCUGGGGGCAGCCAAGUGGCCUUUGAGGAUGGGGCCAGGCACCGCACAGGGCAGGCUGGUCAUGAGGCCCCCACGAAAGAUCCCAGCAUUGGGAGCUCAGGCUUCCCCGCCCCAUGCCAGGCAGCCCCUCCUGCUUCCCUUCCUUUGGAAGGAGCGGUGCUGGGUCUGAGCCCCAGCCCAUCUUCCUCACCGGGGCAGCAGGGCCAAGACCCACGAUCCCUAGGCUGAGCCAGCGGCACCUCAGGGGGCACGGCCCUUGCCCACAGAUGCCCAGGCCGGCCUGGUCUUCUCUGAAUACCCCUAAGCCUGACUCUUGGGUUGUGAAUGUCCGCGAGGUUGGGGGACCUGCUGGCCCUGUCCCCACACCGCUUUCAGCCUUUCAUCACCCAACCAAAGACAGAAGCUCAAACGUGGGCACCAAAGUCUAGCGGACGCACCGAACUCCAGGCUCCAAGCACAUCCACCCAUGGUGGCUUUAUUCAGUCACGUCCCCACGCCCACGGCUCCCUCCACCAGGCAGACAGAGGGGAGGCCCCGGGAAGUGGGGACGGGCCGAG
RNAcentral lists this long non-coding RNA (562 nucleotides) under Homo sapiens (human). RNAcentral's name for it is "HSALNT0254274". Lineage: Eukaryota; Metazoa; Chordata; Mammalia; Primates; Hominidae. The record is from RNAcentral.